AAGCCAUCCUACGUCUGUCCCUUGGCCAAGCAGAGUCACCGAGGGACAUGGCUGAGAGCAACACUUGGGACAAGGUGUAUUGAUGUCCCUCUAUCAACCGCCAGCAAUGUGCUGCUGGAGGACCACGGAACUGCAGGGCUGCCCUCUUCCAAACACUCAGAUAAUUGAUAACACGAUGAGUUCUGCGAAGCUGUGGUUGUAUCCCGGAUGGUUUCCAUGCUCUCUGCUGUUCUCACACAGGAUGAAGUGGACUGUGCUUUGAAACACCCUGUUCAGAAAAAGGGGGAAAUGCCCCAAACUGUCACCCUUUGGGAGACGUUGGCAAACGUGGAAAGUGCCAUCACUCUGCCUCCCCACUGCACAUGGCCUCAGCACCCAAACUGUGGUCCCCAUAGCUGUGACCCUAUAGCUAGGAAAGCCCCAGUGGCUCUGUCACUUUGUCCAGGAAGGAAAAUCCACAUUGUGCAUGGGAAGGAAACAUGGGAGAACCCCCAGCUCCACUUAGUGGGCAAAGCACAAACAACAUAUUUCAGCUGCAGCAACAGCUGAAGGCUGAAGGGUGUGUUUACAAUGCUCAGCUGAUCCUCGUAUAGGAAAGGUUUGCUUGCACUCUAAAAGCCUGUCCUGAAGCCUUGAUGCCCUGGAGAAAGCCACGCAGGGCUUUCCAGGAUGAAAAAAGAGAAUUCAGAAUUUUUCAACAGCCCUCUUUUCUGCUUAGAAGUAUCUCAGUAGCUCUGUUGAUGAGUUAAGGAUGGUUCACUAAGUAAUUUUCACUGGUUGCACUGUGUGUAUCUCACCCCAACCACCAGCCUCCUUAUCUGGUGCUGCCUCUCAUCAGGAAGGCCCUGUAGAGGAUAUGGAUGCCCAGCCUGGCUGUAGCUCUCCCCUGGAAGUCUCUCAUCAGCAGCACUGUGUGACUAUCAGCUCCUGCCCUCUCCAGUCCUGGGGACCAGAUCCAUUUAAGACAACUGGUGCUCUGCAUUUCCAUUUUGAGCUCAGAUCAACCAGGAAUGCCUUUGUAACUCUGCAGAGGAAGCUGCAUGGAGGCAGAAGCAAAACCCAUCAGGUGUGUUUUGAUAGCAACAGUGCAAAUCCAAACUCUGAGUGGUGGUCACGGGCAAAGCAUGGGGGCUGCCUGUGAAAGUAGCUUAGGUUUUUUAUUUUGGUGCCUGGGUGGCUGCUUCAGCCUGCAUAAUCCAUUUAGCUGCUGUGCAUCUUCCUGUGCUCUGCUCACAGAAGUUAUUGCAUUAGGCUGCAGACUGGGAGAUGGCAGUAAUAUUUUUAUACAGAGAUGCACUGUCCCAAGGUGCCCUGGCUGUAGAGGUUGAUGGCCGCUGCACACACAUAUCUCCUGCCCCAGUUACCUUCAGGCUGAACCCUUGCAGGCACGCAUUGUCAGUAUAUCCAACUAUUCAAAAGGAUGAAGGGGAAACGGCUUUAUUUCAGUGGUUUUCCUCUGCUCUGCUCUCUCAGGAUGCCAACCACUCGUGGUUAUCAAUGGGAAAGAAAUGCCUGACUCUGCUUGGAGGUUCCAGCUGUUAUUUAACAGCUCCGUGCCCUAUUUUCACAUUGGAGAAACAGAUGUCAUGUAGGCUGAUGCAGCAGAGAUGGACGUAGGACUGAAAGAGUCCCCUGGCACUAGAGGGCCUGAGGUGUUUGAUACCUCUGCAUAUCAGAUUUCAUUGGAGUGGCUUUUUGCAGUUAAUGAUCUGACUAGAAGCACACUUUGAUGGUACAAAUGCUUGCAUUUAGAGACAUCUCCUACUUCUCCUUCCGGCUCAGAUGACAUCCUCUUCUCGCGCAAUUCCCCAGCAUAAUUUGCACAAACAUGUCCAUCCUCAGGUCUAUACAAAUAUGUUUUCUCCUUGGUUACACAAAUGCUCCUUAUUCUGGAAACCUGGCAACACUGCUGAGAACCAUAGAAGCUAGCUAUGACUAAAAGUUUUAGUGAGUUCAGGGGUGUCCAGGAGGAUUUACCUAAGACACUCCUUGACUCCUAUCAAGAUGCUCCCCAUACGCCUGCCUCGAGCCACCCUCUGCAACCCCUUGGCAAUGGACUUGGCUUGGACAGAGAGCAGUCAGAAACCAUAUAAGGGUUCUGUGCACAGACCCAGCUGAGAAGCUGCUCAAGUUGUGCAAGUCAAAUUGAAACUCUCCAUCUCCUGGCAUUUAUCCAUGGCAGCUACUUGCAGCCUCCGGGCUUGGCUAUCAGCUCUGCAGCUAAUGAAUUGCCCUGUGAUGUGAUUGUGCUUGGCUCUUUUCUCGCUGUGCUGUCCUUGAAGCCUGAUCCCUGAUAAAUCCCACGCAGCCCCUGGCCUGCACACAUAUCCAACGAUGAGCAACACGGGAAGGCUGCAAGCAGUGGCUCCCACCAGCCUGACCCUCCCUCCCAUCAGCAGAUUUCUCAACAAAACAGAGGCUCUGUGUCUGUGUUAUCUCACAGGUUGAAGAGCCUCCCCUGGGCAUGCUGGCUUUCUCUGGAAUGGUUCUGAGUUGUGCAAGAGGGGCAAAGAGCAGGGCAAGGCCUGUCCCUGUGGGUGGAAGAUGCAGAUGCUAAGCUGGCAGUGGUGCUUGUCCCUUUGUGUGAGGCAUCUCACCUGGCCCUGCUGCUGUGCCUCCAUGUCUCUCCUUGGCUCUGGGGCAAGUGAACUCUUCUAACUAGCUUUGAUCCCAUCUGAACCUGAUGUACUGCAGCGUUUUCUGCAACCCAGAUGGCUUCGAACUCUUCCGAUGACUUCUUUUGGCUCUGUUGAAAGGCAAUUACCUCCCGUGCAUCUCCUACUGCAGGAUAUUAAAUCCCUGGGCACUAGCUUCCAUCCUUCUGCAUCCCUCCUCUCCAAAUACUCUUUUCCAUCCACUUUCCCACUGCCGCGGAUGCUUCUCACUCACUUCCUAAGAUGGUAGAUUGCAGGUCUCCUGAACUGCCCGCUCUCGAGAUGGAAAGAGUGAGAUAAUAGCAGCAAACUGUUGGGAAUUAAGAACCUUCUUUCAUUUUUGGCAUUUAAAUUGGAGUCAGACUGCAGCUGAUCUCCCUGGUCUUCCCCAUGCCUUGACCCUGGCUUUGGAUGAAGGCCACAGCACUGUGCCAUUAAGGCUUCAUGGAGACAUUUAUUUUCAUAAUGUUUAAGAACUCAAUUUUAUUGAGUGAACGAUUUUUAACUUCGAUCCUGCAAUUUGCUCUCAGGCCAUCUUUCAAAAUGUCUGAAGAUGUUUAACGUCAGUAACAACAAAGUCAUGAGCUAAGAGAGGCUGUGGAUGUUGGCCAUUUCUGCCCUGUGACCUGUGUUGGUGCACUGGUGUUGGGCAAUGCUUGUGCACUCACUGCACAAACUGGCUUUGACCCUCCAGUUUACGCUGGAGAAAGCAACACAAGUGUGUGCAUUUUGACAUCUUUGGAAGCUUUCAGAACCAUCAGCAAUUUUCAGUCUCCAGAUGGCUCCUGCCCUAAGCUGGCUACCCCACAAAAAGUCCCUAGCACUGUGAUGAUCUCCUGUCACUAUGAAUGGGGCUGAGGUUGGGAGGUGCUGUCUCCUCCUCUGUCCCUCUUUGCCGUGGGGAGGAGGCAUUCAGGUCUUGACUUGGAAACGUGAUACUCCUCGUGAUGCUUCAGACUAAUUGGAGGUGAGGACUGAGGUUUUCAUGGAGAUCUCCUCUAAUGCUGUGAAGCUUCUCCUCAUUUCCAUCCUAAAUUAUUUAUGGCCAGCUCAUUCCCAUUAGUUCUUCUUAGCUUAAUUAUUUUCUUUUCCUACUGUGACUCCUCGUGUGCUUAUAAACGGCAGUAAUAACCUCUCUCAGCCCUCUAGACUUUCAGCUGAAUGAGCCAUCCUUCUCCAGUCUCCCUGUGGAGUCUCUCUUCUCUGUCUUUGUGACCAUACUUUUGGGAAAGGCUAUGCCUGUAAGUGCAUGGGGAAAGGCUUCAGUCGCAAUGGGCUGAGCAUGAGGCAUCAGGGGGAUUUCAGAGAAAAAGGCCAAGCUGGAGAAUGGGUGAAUGCCUCAAGAAUACCUUAAAGUAGAGAUUAGAGAAGGAAACUGCAGGCUGAGAGGAUUUUACCUCUCAAACAGGCUGAGAUUUUACCAUGGCAGUGGAGGUUGUCCUACCAAAGUUACCCCUUCAUCUCAGCCUCAUCCUUCUCAGUCAAAUUUAUUUAUUUUUAUCCUGAAACUAUUUUUCCAUGCUUGUACUCUUAUUUCUGGCAACAGAAUGACUAAGCCCAUAUAUGAAGACCCAGCCUGGAUCCUGGCAUCAACUCCGGGCUCUCUCUGCUCUGUGGGUGAACCACCACUGCAGGAAGGUGCUGACAACCACUGGUUCUAAAUCAACCACCAUCUCCCCUGCUAAAUGUGAGUGUUUGUAAAGCCAAAGAGGGAAGCUUACACAGAUUGCUUUCUAAAGGUGGGUUUGUGUGGAUAUAUCCACAACAACCCAUUAGUUAGCACAUAUAUCAUUUGCAUAACUGUGGGCCCUCUGCAUUGCUGACGUGUGCGACUUUCUGCUUAAUUCUCACUGAUUAAAUUAAUUUACGCUGAGCUGUAGUGCAGAAUCUGGAGUGAUUUUCAUGAGAGCUAAUUCUACGGAGCCUUUCACAGAAGGUAUUUUCAAUGAUGAUAGUUAAGGGCUGUCCUUAGCUCCACCACCAACCCCCUUAGCCCUGCCUUAGCUGUGCUGUGAGCUUUGCCUUCAGCCUGUUGCAAACCGUGGUGCUUGCACAUCUCUUGCUGAGACUCAGAGCAGUGCUGUGUUGGCACCAGCAGCACGGCUGUGCUUGGGAACUUUGCCAUGAAAUUCCAUCCAUUUUGGGGUCCUCUUUCUUGGAGUCACCACUUCAAAUCCGGAGCUACACAUGGAUCAUUGCAAAAAAGAAUCUACAACUGCAACCCAGGGAGAGAGUGUGGUUGGCAUCCAUCUGCAGCACGCCGGGUCUGUGCAAAAUCUGCUGCUGUUCUUUGAGGCACUACAACAGCAGCCUCAUUUUCCCCAGCACCCAGCAGCACCCUCUGAGCGUGUCUGAAAUCAGAUCUGUUUUCUUCUGAAAACCUAAUGGAGUGCCUGAGAAAUACGGCCGUGAACUGUUUGGGGAAAUGGUGCCAGGGAGCCUGCUCUGCUUUUGACGUGAUUCCAAAACACCAGUUGACUGGAAACUAAGUGCAGCCCCAGCAGAAGGGUUAAUCCAACUAUUUUCUUGAGAAAACGUAAUUACUACGAAUCUUUCCAAGCUUGUACAGAGUCAGCAGUAAGCCCUUUUCCUGAGCUGCCAGCUGUGGCUGCAGAUCUGGCAGUGAUGCUGUGAAAUCGAUCGUUCCCCUUUGGCAGGACCGGUGAGUGGCAUCUGCAGAGACAGUGCUGCUGCUGAGCGCUUCCCUUUGCUGCCUGCACUGAGAUAUGCAGCAUCUGCCAUGGCUGCUGGCUGCAGAGGUAUAUGAAGGAGGUGGUUUUCAUGUAAAAUAUGUCACUUCUUUGCUACUGGAUGUGCAUGGUAUGCGCUGGGAGGGUGGCAAAACUAUGCUGUGCUCAGCCCUGGUCCCUGGUGCCCUGUGAUGGAUGGGAUGGCCGUGCAGCAGGGACUGCCUUUCUUCUUUCAAAGGACAUUCUUCACAGGCAAACAUCAGUUAAACAAAUAAUUGCUGGUUUGAUUGUUUCCUGCUGCCAGCUUUUCCUUCAGGACCUCCCUUUCCUUGGGGUAAGCUCUCCAAGCAGGGGUUUAUUAACCAUUUUCAGAAGACUGACGUGAAGGUACCACGCAGACACCCAUUAUGAUAUGAAUUUUAAUCUUGUUUCAGUACCUUCAUUUUGAAAAGAGAUUAAAAAAAAAAAUCCCUUAAAAAACCAAAAUGCAAAUUGAUUUUGAAUUAAUAUGAAACUUCUCUGCAGUUAGUUGGUUCUGAUGGCUUUUUGGGCAGAAGCGUAUUGUUUCUGCUAGGGGAGGUUCAGGUUGGGUACUGGGGGAGAUCUCAGAGCAGUGAGGCAUUGGCACAGCUGCCCAGGGAGGGGUGGAACCACCACCCCCAGGGGUAUUCCAGAGCUGUGGGGUUGUGGCACUGAGGAC
This is a long non-coding RNA of Gallus gallus (chicken), 6044 nucleotides long. RefSeq lists it as uncharacterized. NCBI's taxonomy places the organism in Eukaryota, Metazoa, Chordata, Aves, Galliformes, Phasianidae. The transcript has 3 exons. The record is from RefSeq and is a predicted model, not a curated record.